AAGACACUGUAAAGGAAGGAGCU
RNAcentral lists this non-coding RNA (23 nucleotides) under Cricetulus griseus (Chinese hamster). Lineage: Eukaryota; Metazoa; Chordata; Mammalia; Rodentia; Cricetidae. The record is from RNAcentral.